RNAcentral lists this long non-coding RNA (7853 nucleotides) under Homo sapiens (human). RNAcentral describes it as "HSALNT0106740". Lineage: Eukaryota; Metazoa; Chordata; Mammalia; Primates; Hominidae. The record is from RNAcentral.
AAGUUCAUUGUAGAUUCUGGAUAUUAGCCCUUUGUCAGAUGAGUAACAAGUAUAUGUGUAUAUUAUUUUCCCAACCUUUAUCCCAUAAAUGAUAGCACACUUUGCUCACUAUUUUCUGUCUUGGUCUUAAUCACCAUAAAAUGUGAUGCUGGCGAUCACACCAUAGUAAUAUGUAGAAAUAGGCCUUUUCCUUUUUACACCUGUAUAGUAUUCAACUAUUUGGAUUUACCAACGUUUCUGCAAUUAGUCCCCAUUUGGAUUGUUUCCAGCCUUUCGCUAUUAAAUAAUGCAGCAAUGGAUAGACUUUGAAUUUUCAUAUUUUGUUACUGUAUCUUUGGGACACAUUUUAGAGUGGAAACACUGGGUUAAAAGGCAAAUGCCUAUGUAAUUUUGCUAGCUCUUGCCAAAUUUUUCUCCACAGGAAUUGUACUAUUUUUCUUCCCCACCAGCAAUUUAUGAGAAAGUUUGUUUCUCCACAGUAUGUGUUUCAGAAUGCAUUGGACAUUUUCCCAUCUGGUGGGUAAGAUGUGAUUAUCUCAGUGAAGCUUUGAUUUGCAUUUCUCUUUCUGUAGGCGCACAUAUUUCUACAAGUGAACUCAGCCAGCAUUGUCUGAAUCAAUGCCUUCCAAUCUUUUCUCCAGCUAAUUCAGAUUCUGUUACUGACACUAGCAAUCAAGAUAUCCUAAACACACACUAGAGACCUCAAUGAGUUUUCUAGUUUAUAUUUCUCUUAUUAUGAGCAAGGUGUUAAGGUUUGUUCCUAUGGUAAAGAGUCACCUGUGUUUCUUCCAUUAUGAUACCUCACUUGAGUCUGUCCAUCACAUGCAAAAACACAUUCUCACCUCAGGGCCUUUGCGCUUGGCCAUCCCUCUGUCUAGAACACUAUUCCCAUCAUUGUGGCAGGGUUCAUCUUUCCACAGCAUUCAUGUCUCUGCUUAAAUGUCCCUCCUCAAAAGGCCUGUCUUAAUCAGCCUAUCUAGGUAGCACUCCUUUCACUAUCUCCUUAGCCUGCAUUAUUUUUCUUCCAAGCACUGACCACUAAUGGACACUGUAUAUUUAUCUGCAUAGUUGUUAUCUCCCUCCCUCCAUGGAAAGCCAGCUCCUUGAGAAGCGGGCUCCUCUACCUUGCCCACAGCUAUAUCUCCAAGUGCCCCCAAACAACAAGGCCUGCCAUGCAGUGAGAGCUCAGUGAGUGUGUUGGAUGAAUGAAUACAUGAAUGAAUGAAUGGAAUUCUUUUGCUUGGAAAGCCAGCAGAGAACAGGUACUGUCACACAGACAAGAAAUAAAUCUACAACCUAGGUCCCUAUAAAGGAGAGUGAACCUGAGAAGGGAGGCUGAGGUAAAUGAAGAUGACUCAGGUCACUGGACAAUAGGGAUGGUGGGGUGGGGGCAGGAGAGGUCCAUGAGAAGUCAUAGGGACAAUGAAAACAGGAAGAGGGGCACAAAAUGCAAUCCACAUUCUCCGCAUUGUGUAGAAGGUCCAUGCUAAGUGGCAGCUGCAGUGCCCUCAGGCAGACUCAGGGACAGUGUUCAUUCCACCACUGCCCAGUUAGCACCUUACUGCUGCUGAGGCCCCACAGAUACCUUACAGCUAAUCACUGAGUGGCACUCCUAAGAAGCCACUGUCAUUUCUUCUUUGCCGUACCUUCCUCCCCGGGUCCAAGAGUUUUAUCCCUGCCUUAAUUCGUUCUUUAGGAAGACAUAUUUUCCCCUUUCCAUCCUCAAUAUCAGAACCAAGUGCAUUCAUCUGGGCAGUACCAUGUUUAAGAAGCUGACACACUCGAAAAAAUUACAGGGAUGAAAAUAAAAAGGGUGUUUGCUCAGCAUCCCUGUCUUCUAGGCAUUGCAUUCUCUGGAAACUUCUCCUUCUCCUCCCAUAUUGGAUGUGUCUGAAGGAGGCCCUUAGCUGGCUGGUCAGACUUCUCAUGAGGAUUUUCCAAACCUAAACUGGGUCAAAAGCACCAGUCCCCUGUGAUGUCAGAAGCUUGGGACUGUUGCUGCUGUGUUUUUCUCUUGUGCCUUUGAAUUAAGUCAAAUUAGAAACAGAAAGAAAAAGUGGAGAAAGGACAUCAAAUUCUGGAAGCAUCGGAGUCCUCAUUUUCAGUCACUUUGGAGGCCCAGUGAUGCCCUGUCCUGCCAUGAGUCUCAUUAUUCAACUCUUCCUUUGGUUAUUUUAAUAUGCUAGCAUUAUCCCAACCAAUGCCUCUCUUUUUCCUCAACCCAAUUCAGGUAUUGUUUCUGUCACUAACAACUAAAAAAGUCCUGUUCAAUACACACACAAGGACAAACCUAGAUUAAAUAACAAAGGACAAUAAAGUGGGAGUCAAUCAUUGGGAACUAGAUAUUCACGUUUUCAAAUGAUUCCAUGGAAAGGACGCUCCUCCUUCUCCCAAGCAGUCUUGAGAUGAGGGGGCAGGCAUCAUCCUAAACCUUCCUCUUGAGGUCCCAACAGGAGUCUCAGCAUGGAUUUCUACAAAGACAACCUUGGUAGGGAUCUUUUUAUCUCCACUCCCUUUAUCUUACUAAUCUCCCUUUCAGGAUAUAGUGCUAUCUAUCUAGUUUUUGGGCCACCUGCUUAGAAAAUCUGCAUUUUGGUGUGAUACCUACCUCUGUUUAGAAUGUCAUAUUUAUUAACUUAUGUUAUCUCAGUUGAAAUUUGGAAUUUAUCAUCCUAUCAUACUAUCAUUUCCUUAGGGCUAACUUUGUGAAGGAACUCUGUAAACAUUCAUAGGAGUUAAUGUAUUUAAACUUCACCAUAGGCCCCAUUUAGAGAUGAUGUAAUUUGCCCAAGGACAACUAGCUGGACAGUGGGUGAGCUAAAUUAUAUCCAAAUGCCUUGUCUUCAAAGUGUGAACUCUUAACUUCUCAACAUUUCUGCUAUACAAACUUGUACAUUCUAGAGGAGGGAUGAUGAACACAUCUGCACUUUGGAAAGAAUUACAGUGGUGAUGUGAAGACACAGUUGGAAAGCAGCAAAAGUAGGAGGGAAAGAAAUUGGCAUCUCGAAGUAACUUUAGAAGAACAGAAAUCAACUUGGCUGAAUUUCUUGGUUGAAAUCUGUAAGUAGCAAUGAGCACUGCUGGUGACAUUGUAGAAAUAUAAGAGAACUCAGUGACUAGACUAGAUGGGGUGGUUUUCAGAGACAGCAAGGCAGGUGCUAAAGGGUCAAGGUUUCAAAGUCUUAUCUCUAAGGGGAAGAUGGUGCCAAGGACAAGGGAAAGUUCCUUAAAGAUAUGAAAGGUCUCACCCACUGAAAAAGAUCAAGAAAGGCUUCAAGGAAAAAGAAGGGCAUGUGAUGUGGAUGCUGGAUAGAGCUAAGGUGAAUCAAAGCCUUGUAGGCAAGGAUAGGGAUGUGUUUAAAGACCAGUGAACAGCUUAUUUAAUUGGAAUGGAAAGCCUGAGCAGGGCAUGAUGGGUUACAAUAAGAUUGGAAAGGAGGGUCAUGGCCGCAUAGCUGAGGACUUUGAGUGCCAGGGUUAAGAGUGGGCAUAUUGCAUCCAGUAAGGUAUGUGAAUCUAUCAAAAGUUCUUGAAAAGAGUGGUGCAAGAGGUUAAAUUGAAGUGGGGAAGGAUUGUAAAUGUUGGUGACUCCAAAACUCUUGCCAGAGGCAAUAGGGGUUGGAUUACGGAGAUGCAGUAGUAAUAUAAGAAAGGAAAUGAAUGUGGGAAACACCACGGAGAUAAAGUGUUUAGAGUUUAACAAUUAAUUGGCUGUCAAGGUAAUGAUCUGGGGAUGGGGGAUAAAGUGAGGAGAAAAACAUAUUGGAAGUACCAAAAAAAAAAAAAAGCACAGGGAGAAGUGUUCAAAGGAGAUUCUAAGGGUUUCAGUCUGGGUAGAUCAUGGUAACUGUAACUGAAAUAGCUUAGUUAUACAGAUGACAAGAGUACAUUUGUGACAUACAUACAUGACAAUGAGACACACAUACACAUUUGCUCAUUUCAAUCUGUAGCUAAUAUCAUUUAUCUCCAUGUUAAAAAAAAGCAAAAAAAAUUAAAAAAAGAAGGGGAAGGAUAAAAAAUGAGAUUACUUCUUACAAUGGUAAGAGAUACUCGUUUUUAUUGGCACUAAUUAAGGAAGAAUAUUAUUGCAGUACUGUUAUAGUUCUGAGUAGUCAAAACUCUAGAAGCAGAUUCCUUUUCACUGCUUUUCUUCUUGUGCUAAAACCUACAGCAUGAGAAAAGCAACACAGAAAUCUGUGAAUUGUGGUCCUUCUAUGCAGCUAUUUUUAAUCUUUCAAAAAUGCCUAGACUUUAGUUUGAGGUGUAAACAUGUGAAAGUAUUUGAUAAGCCUUACUCUUUAUUUGCAUUUAAAGGAUUUUAAAGUGCAAAAAGACUUCUAGAAAAGCAAACGUACCAUAUUUGGACCUGAACAUCUAAUCUUCUCACCAAACCUGAUCCUCUUUCUGUAUUUCCUGUUUUAACUGUGACACCACCUUCCACCCCACUCACCUUUCAUCGUAACUUUAGUCAUCUUUGAAUUCUUCCAUUGGCAAUCCAUAGCUUGAUUUUGGUUCAGGGCUGGUUAAGCCAGAGGCUCAGUGAAGUUAUCGCAAGGUGCUGUCUCUCUAGCUCCGUCUUCUGAAGGUCAGUGUCAUUCUAAAGCUGAUUCCCAGGACAGCUGCCGGUAGUGCCCUCUGCCUUUAUUUUAUUCCACAACAGGGACACUUGGGUCACCUGUUCACCUCUGAACAUGACUGUGGCUGGGCUAGGGAAUGUGCUGAUUUAACAUUCUGGUGAAAAAGCCAAUUUAGACUCACCCCUAGAGUGAGGAGUGGUAUCAGUUUUCCCUGAAGUGUGGGCUGCAUGGGAAUGGAAGGAUAUGCAAGUAAAAAUCUAGAUUAGGAGUAGAGGGAUGCUGGGCAGCACCCACCAGUGUCACCACUGCUCCAAUUCCUAUACCUGACAGAGCACUUGGAUGCAAAUGAUAGGAAAUAUCUUUGGCUAAGUAGCAAAACAGUAACAUAUAGGGGAUGAGCAGGUGGCUCUUACAGAGUUAACAAGAAUCUUGAGAAACAGCUUCAGAAACUAGGUAGAAACCAAGAAGGUCUAAGAUGCAGAAGACCACAGCCAAAAUGAUACAGAAACCAGUGUAGCUAGGAUACCACCACUGGAACCCUCCCAAUGCUGUCCUCAUCACUGCUCCUGUGCUGCUAUAAGUGAUCACUAACUGUCCCUGUGACAUUGUGUCACACCCUCUAGAGUCAAAAGUUCGGGUGUGGUGUCUCAUUGGUCAAGCCCGAGUCACACACCCCAACCCCAACUGCCAGGAAGCCUGGCUAGGGUAAUCUUAAUCUUCAUGGCCUCUUUGUGGCAUGUAACAACCCCACCAUAGGCAAUGGGGAGUGAAUUUCCCCAGUAUAGAAAGUGCAUUAGAAUGCUGAGCAACUCAAAAAUAACAAAAGUCUGUUAUCAGCCUCCGACUCACUCUGCUUCCCUGCUGAUCCCACCUUCUUAUUCAGUACCACCAGAUUUGGCUUUGUGUGAACUAGUUCUGUGAAUUAUACCACUCCCCUGGUUCAAAUACCUUCACUGCUUUUCCAUUGCUGUUAGGCCAGACAUGGUGGCUCACGCUUAUAAUCCCAGCACUUUGGGAGGCCAAGGUGGGUGGAUCACUUGAGGCCAGGAGUUUGAGGCCAGUCUGGCCAAAGUGGUGAAGCCCAGUCUCUAAAAAACAUACAAAAAAAAUAGCCGGGUAUGGUGAUGCAUGCCUGUAAUACCAGCUACUCAGGAAGCUGAGGCAGGAGAAUUGCUUGAACCCAGGAGGUGGAGGUUGCAGUGAGCCAAGCUCAUGCCACUAGACUCCAGCCUGGGUGACAAAGCGAGACCCUGUCUCAAAAAAAAAAAAAAAAAAAAAAAAAGAAUUAAAGGGGGUUUCUUCAUAUGAUGAUAUCAACCCACUAUCAGUCCAUCCAUCCACCACCCACCCAUCCAAUGACUACUUAUUGAAUAUACUAUGUUCCCAGUAUCAACCUAGGCACAGGCCAUAGAAAGAUGACAAGUCACUAUUCCUUUAAAGAGGUCUUGGUAGAAAGAAAUGAAAAAUUAUAAUAUGAUGUGGUAUUAUGUAAUAUACUAUAAAUUAUAUUGUCAUAAAUGAUAUGAAUACAAAAUACAGUAGGAGCAUAGGAGAAGUAUUUAAGUUUGGUGCAGGAAGGAGAGUUAGAGAAGAUUUCUCUAAGGAAGCCACAUUUCGCUGGAUUUUGAGAGGUAAGUGGUUUUUUAGUUUUCUAAAUGGGCAGCCAAGCAGAGAGUGACUUUUAUAUAUAAACGGGGGCAUAGAAUGAGGUGUCAAAGUGUGAGAAACUAUGAGUAGCCCAAUAUUGUUGGGCUGCCCAAAGUGGAGUUAGGGAUCAGGGGUGGGAAGCUAUGGGGAAGCAGCUAGACUAUUAAACAGUGGCUUGACAUGAACAGCUUUGUGCGUUAUGGGUAGGAUUUUAAAUUUUCUUCCUAAUAGAAGAGAGAACCAGUAAAAGCUACGACAGUAGCUUCUUGACCAUCCCUGCAUUCAAUUUCACCCCUUUUAAAUCCAUUCUGCAAAUAAUAUGUGGCCGAGGGAUCUUUGUACUAAGUAAAUAUUAUCAUACUAUUGUCCGUGAAAAUAGAAUGCAAAGUUGGAACCAGGGCCUGUAUAUAUACAAAGGAGGGAAAUGUUAGAAUCCAAUAGGAAAAUAGGUUUCUGAGACUACACUGGGAAUUUAUUAGGCUACCUCAGUGGAAAGCCAUUCUCCUCCACUAAAAUAAUGUAUAUGACUUUCACAUACAUAAUGUACAUGAAUCCAUUACAGCUGCUGCCCCACUAGAUGGUAUAAAUAAUUUAUUUAUCCUUGUAUCCUCAGCCCUUAGCACAUUGCCUGCCAUAAAGCAACUAUUCAAGAUAAUGUCUGAUAAAUGAAUGAAAUAAUGCAUGAGUGAAUGAUAAGAUAAGCUAAUCACAUCUUUGCUUCCUUUCAUGGACAGAUUAUUUCUGAGAUCUUCUACCCUAGUUGCAGCUCCACUUGCUACUACUACUACCAAGACAGUCUUCGGUGCUUGCCAUAAAGUCUCCUACUCCACUAUCCAACUCCUUAAUUCCUCAAGCUUUGAGAAUUUUAGAGAUUUAUACUGGAAUUUAGGGACUUAGCCAUGAAGUCUUAGAUGUAUUUAUGCAUAUAAGAGAGAUAACUGAAAAUCCACCCAAGGUUUGUGCUCCCCCUGUAUAGUACAGAGUUGUUUCUGAAAAGUUGUUUCCCAAUCAGGGCCCAGCUCUGGUGUGAUCACGUGACUGAGUUCUGGCCAAUGGAGUGGGAGCAGAAAACAAUUCAUGCUACUUUCAGCCAUAAGAACUUCCUUUAGAACCUUCAUUUCUCCUCUUCAAGCUGACCUUGGGAGCGAAGUGUUGAAGAUGGCAGAGCCUCUAUCAUUCUAGAUCUUUGAAGGACUCCAUGGAGCACACUCCUAUUUCCUUCAACCCCCUCUUCUAUCACAUUGUGAUGGGGUAUUACAGGAGUGGGAAAUAAGUCUCUCUUCUGGUGUACAGUGGAAUUGUCUACAGGCUGGAUAACAUGUGAUGUCACAACAGAUUUAAUGAAGAAACAAAUAUAAAAAUCAAGUUCUUUCCAAAUUGAGCCAGACCUUAAAGACAAGUUGUGAAAUCCGUGAAAAUACAAAUCAAUGUUACUUUUUUCACUAUUUUUUGUUCUGGAAAAUAUAGUUGUCUUUCAUAAUAAUGUUAUUUGUGUUAACAUGCUCUUUUAAAGUAAAUGAACAAAUAUUUAUUUUAAAAACCUCUCAGUUGUAAAUCCUAAUAUGGUAAAUAUAAAUAUAAACAAAAGCUCUUUGGAGUCUUCAAUAAUUUUUACUUGUGUAAAGAUGG